This 15482-nucleotide long non-coding RNA is filed under the name Lactuca sativa (garden lettuce). RNAcentral's name for it is "long non-coding RNA (LSAT_LNC000555)". The record is from RNAcentral. Lineage: Eukaryota; Viridiplantae; Streptophyta; Magnoliopsida; Asterales; Asteraceae.
CUCAUAUAAAAUCUGAUUUCAGGCUAGAGACGGAAUUUAUUGAAGAAAUUGUGAAGGACAUCCACCGUAGGUUACAUGUACCCUCAAGGAGUGUUCGACAACAACUUAUUGGGAUGGACUAUGAGAUUAAGUUCAUAACUUCAUGGUUGAAAGAUGGAUCCUCACAUACGGCAGACAUACUCACUAUUUAUGGUAUAGGAGGGAUUGGGAAGACAACUUUAGCCAAACAUGUCUAUGGGCUAUAUGCUCACAAAUUCCACAAAAGCAGCUGUAUUGAAGAUGUUAGUAGGGUAUGUGAUGGAAAGUUUAAUGGGUUGCUUGAUUUACAAGAAAAACUAAGCAGUGACAUUUCAAAAACAAGUUCCGUUAAAGUUCAUGAUGCUUCGGUAUACACCUCAAAGAUAGAGAAUGCAGUAGCACGUAAAAGGGUGUUUCUUGUUCUUGAUGAUAUUAGUACGCUUGAUCAGUUGGAUACGCUACUUGGAAGCAAAGGUUUUCAUCCCGGAAGCAAAAUAAUUAUAACCACAAAGGAAAGGCGUUUGAUAGAGAGGUGUGCACUAUUCAAAACAGACAUUAAACCAAAGCAUACAGAGCUCUUGCUUCAAGGCUUACAUGAGACCGAAUCAUGGAAACUUUUGUGUCUCCAUGCAUUCAAAUGCAAAUAUCCCAAGACAGGUUAUGAAGGGGUGUUUUAUAAGCUUGUGAAGUAUUGUCAAGGACAUCCAUUGGCUCUUGUAGUAUUGGGAAAAUCUCUAUAUGAUCGAGAUGUAACUUAUUGGGAAGGCUGCAUAGAAGGGCUAAAGAAAGAAACAGAUUCUCAUGUGAAUAAUGUCUUGAGAAUGAGCUUUAACUCUUUGCAAUCCAAAAAUGAUAAGGACUUGUUUAAGUAUAUUGCUUGUUUUUUUGUUGGAAUAGAUAGAGAUGUUGCUGAAACAAUAUUACAUGCAUGCAAUAUAAACAUAAGAUCUGGAAUCCCGAAUCUCCUCGACCGAUUCCUUCUUUCUAUUGGAUGGAAAAACGAAUUGAAGAUGCAUCAGUUGGUACAAGAGAUGGGAAGAUUUGAAGUACGUCAGGAAUCACUUGACAAGCCAUGGAAGCGAAGUCUAUUAUGGUGUCAUGAGGAGUCAUUCAGAGUAUUAAAACAAAAAAAGGUAAGAGGUCAUAUGUGGUUUUAAAAGUGUGCAUGUUAAAAACAUUGUGUAUGGUCUUAACUUUUUAUUUACAUUAUGUUUCUUCUUAGGGUAAGGGAAAUCUUGUUGGCCUUGCCCUUGACAUGCGCAUGCUUGAGAAAGAGAUGUUGGGUGCAUCAUAUAAGCUAAAAACAGAUGCAUUAAGUAAGAUGGAUAAUUUGAUGCUACUACAACUCAAUUAUGUUCACAUGAAUGGGUCUUAUGAGAACUUUCCACCGGAACUAAGAGGUUUGUGUAUGCAUGGAUUCCAUUUAAAGUCUAUACCUUCAGAAUUACCUAUGGAGAAUCUUGUUGCUCUUGACAUGUCAUAUAGCAAUAUUGAAUCAUUUAUCGGUUGUUAUAGUAAUCCACAACGACUUGAGAAGAGGAAAAAGGUAACUUAUCUUCAUUUAUUAUUUUUCAUGCUUAGUUGAAUUUCACCACCAUUCUAACUUCUUUUAGUUUUUAUAGUUGGAUGGAUUAUGCUUAAAAAACAAAAGGUUGCUUGGAUCAUUGAAGGUUCUUAAUUUAAGUUUCUGUAAACAACUUUGUAGUCUUGGUGACUUUGACCAAUUCCCAGCUUUGGAGAGGUUAAUAGUCAGAAAUUGCACUGGUUUGCUUGAGGUUAGUGAAUCAAUUGAGCAGUGUGUUGAACUUGCCCUCAUCGAUCUAAGCUACUGCAAGCAGCUUAAAAACCUUCCAAGAAUCAUAGGCAUGCUAAAGAAGGUUAAAACAAUGUUGCUAAAUGGUUGUAAUCUCGGUGAAUCUCAAACUGAUAAUACAAAUUUAAAUAUGGAUUCACUGGACAUGUGCAAUGCUAACAAAAACAUUAGCAUACGCACAAGAACCUCUUCCUCCGCCUUUGUGGGUGCAAUACCAAGCCGUUUGAAGUUGUUUUCAGUUUCUUUACCGAGGUCUUUAGUAAGGUUGUCCCUUGUAAAUAAUAAUUUGUCCACUGAAUCCUUUCCUAUGGAUUUCAGUAGUCUGUCCAUGUUAAAGGAAUUAUAUUUAGAUAGCAAUCCUAUCCAUUCCAUGCCCAAUUGUGUGAGAACCCUUCCUAAGCUUGAAAAACUUGGUAUACGAGACUGUAAUAAAUUGAAGUCAGUCGAACAUCCUCCACACACACUAAAAACAAUGAUGCUCUAUUCUUAUCCCGAUUCUUUAGAAAAAGUUGUAUUUGAUCCCAAAAUGUCUCCCCUCCAGUUAUUUCAUAGUUUAAAACAUUACACACCUGGGUCGUAUGAAAUUGAAGGCAUGGUGAAAAUCCAACCAAUGGUGGGUGUUGAGGAAAAGGUAUUACGUAGCUUGGGCUGGAUUAAUUUACUCCAUAACAAAAGGAAUGGGGGAAAUAAUCCUAGGGAAUCUCGAAUGCAGGUUUUGUCUGGUUAACUGUCUUUCUUUAUUUGACUACAUAAAAUACUAUAAUAUAAUCAUUUAAUUAAGAUGUUUGUAUUUGGCAGAUGUUAUAUGAAUUUGGAAUAUUCAGCACAAUAUAUGAGACAGAGGAGAUGCCGAGUUGGUUUAUGCAUAGAAGCCCAGGGCCAUCGAUAUCAUUUACGAUCCCAUCAUCAUCUCCAAACAACCUCCUUACAGGACUCAACUUCUGCUUUCUGCAGACAAGGAGAGUUUUGUAUGAGAGGCCUUCAAUUCUACUUCAUCAUUUCCCUGGUUCACCGAUGAUCACAGUUAGUAAUAUAACAAAGAACAGUAUGUGGAUAUACGAACAUUACAGGAUGCCAUUUGGUGUAGGGCGAGUGUGUAGGGUGGUGUUAAGUCAUUGGAUGUUUGGGAUGAAUGAGAUGGAGGUUGGUGACCAUGUUACUAUUACUGUUACGCUGCCAUAUGAUGAACAUGUAAAGGAGUGUGGGGUGAGUCUUGUGUAUGAGGAUGAUGGAGAGAAGAAGGAUGAAGAAGAAGAUGUGUUGGGUUAUUACAAGUCAUGGAAUCAUAUAAUUGGUGGAGAUCUCUCUCCUUUUCAAACAACAACAGGACAAUACAUCCUAAACGACAGGUGGUUUUUUACACAUGCCAUUGUAUUGUCUCCCUAUCAUCGUAAAUUCGUUCCAGACGGCCCCGACAUUCAAGGUAGAUGUGAUUUUUGUUAAAUAUAUUUUUAUUGUCAUGUCUUAUGUAUAAUGACCUACCUCACCCAUCACCCACUUUCUUUAAUUACAUGGAUAAUGACCCAUUUAUUUUAAUACAUAUGUCAUAACUUAAAUCUUUUAAACAACUGGAUCAUAUAUACUAUUGAUUUUAUUGACCCAUAAGAUAAGAUGUUGUUUUAUAAAAAUAUUAAAGAUAAAAGUUGUACUUUAAAUUUAUAAAUUGCAUUGAUUCGUGUAGUCUACAACAGGAGGUCCAAGAAGCCCAUCAAAUUAGUUGGGAUCAAGUCCAGUCCUUAUCACCCUUGUUUAGCUGCAGUUAAGAGUUUUAUUUUUCUUUUGUAUGUUAAUAGCAUUCUGUUAUGAGUGAAGCACCAUCUUUAGGACAGGGGGCAGCCUUUUUGGUUUGGUAUGGUGUGCUGGCAUCCAUUUUACCCUACCCUGAGGACUAUUUAAACUUUUCAUUUUCUAGAAAAUUGUAGUAGAAAAAGUUAUUGGAGAGACCCUUCCUCUUGAAAGAAUGGGAAAAAACCCUAAUAAAUCAUUUAUUAUCAGUUAAUUGUUUCUGGUUGUGAAUUUCCUGCUUAUUCUCUUUACUCUGUGUGGGGCUUAUCAGCACACUCAAUUGAUCAAGACUUUUGAUAAGUUGGAUCACAUAAAUAUACCUGGGCCCAAUACGACUACUUUGUCCGAAUGGAUUAUUUGUGAAUAAUGCUUAACACAUAACUUUUUAUCUGUUUUCAGAAUACAAGGAAGAUUAUUGGUUCAGAGCUUUAUCCUGAAGGAAGCCUGAUAUAAGUGGUCGCACACAUGAGGUAUACUUUUUGACACCCAAACCUUUUCUCUCUUCGCGUGAACAAAAGGCAUACACAACCGAAUAUUAGGAAUCAAAGUUCUCAAUUGGUUUAGGGUGUAACAAAAUAAGAGAAGUAAUUAUAACCUUUCAUUGAAUGCAUUAAAGUGGAAAUAUUAAAAUUUGGAAUCAUUGAAUACUACAAAUAUCUGUUCAUACCAUGUCUAAACACUAUGGGUCAAAAUCUAGGAUUGAAUUCUCACCACUCCCUGCCACGGUUUUGGGGAAUGGCAUCACCUGUCAUGACUCGUUUUUGUAUCUAGAGUCUCCUAGAAGGAGAGCGUGAAUUUGUAUAUAGAUCUAUACUGGAUUGACUAUCCUACACCUUGCUAUUCACUACAGUUGGACUUGCAAGUCUACGGGUGCCAAAUGUCAUUUCUUCCGAUGUCUUUCAUCGUCGUGUUAUUAGUUGAUAGUAUGGUGCAAUCAUAUCACAUUAUACCUUAAAUAACAAUUGGUUUAAGGUAGAUAGUACAACAGUAGUUACUAUAAUACAACACUACAGUACUAUUAUUAUUUCCCCAUUACAUUCAAAUUGUGAUCUUCUUACACAAGCGGUAAUGUAGAAAUUAUAUUUUUGGUUAAUGAUAGUCACACUUGGGAAAAUACACACUUUUACAAGAAACAAACAUACAGAACAUUUGAUGCCUUGGUAGAAGGCUAAGUUUAAUAGAAAAUAUAGGAUUUUCUAGGAGAUACAAACAUUUACUACAAACAAUUACAAACUUAUACAUCAAACACUUACAAACAUUUUCAUACAAACAAUGACACUAAAAUGCUUAUGAACUCACCAGCUUUAAAACUGAUAAACUCUUUUAAAAUUUGGAAUCAUUGAAUUCUCACCACUCCCUGUCACAGUGUAAUAUGCAACUAAGACCAAUUUAUAGAUUAAUAAUCUUCAGUAGAUGUUGUUCUUGGGUAGAUUCUAUGUUAAUAACAAACUAUUACACUUUGGAAAACAAUAUGAAAUUGAUCAAGCAUAUUGCUUGAUUUUAGGGAAUCUUAAUGAUAGAUUCAUUCUUAGGAUAGAAGCAAGCAACAUGUUGAGAAUGCUUAAAUUGCUUCAAGAGUUUGGAAGAGAUGUGUCUCUAGGAAUCAUUAAUAUUGUUGAAUCAAGAGAAUGUAACAGAAACUUUUACAAUUUUCUUACUUUUCCUUCUUAUGUAGGGUGAGGGGGAAUCUUCAAGGUCUCAUCCUUCAUUCACAUGAAAAGGGUUGAGAAAGCUAGAGAGGCUACAUGGCUGGCAUGAAUAGAAAAUAGAUGUAUUCGGCAACUGGGGGAAUCUUCAAGGUCAAUCAUAUGCAAGUCAAUGAGCUAUAUAUGUUACUUUUCCAGAAGAAUUAAGAUAAUAUAUACCAGCCUCUACUGCAAAAUUAAACACAUUUUGAAUUGUAUGUUAUUUCCCCAUGAUUCUUUUAAGCAUAGUUAUCAAAAUUAAACACUUCUUGAAUUGUGUGCUAUUUCCUUAUCAUAAUUGGAAUUGAAAAUUUUGUCUCAACUCUCAAUCAUUGCAUUAUCAACAAUGUCCAUCGUGUCUACGGACUCAAAAUCUCAAAUCCUUGAUAGGAUUCUAUACUUUGUUUGGGUACUAUGUAAAAUUAGCAUGCUACACCUUAAUAUACUAAGACUCUGAUUCAGAGUUGUGUGAGGUAACUAAGUAGGGAGUCCUUUGGCUCCGCAGUCGGGCUGGGACCCGGUAUUUCAGAUAAUUGGUGAACGAACUGAGACCAGGAGGUCUCGUUAGAUUUUGGAGAGCAGCCAUGUGGUAGCAUACUGCUUCAAGCAGUUCAGUGUUUCAGGCAGUUACGUGUUUUAGGCAGUUCAGUAUUUCAUGCGGUUCCGUGUUUCAGGCAGUUCAGUGUUCAGGCAGUAAGUGUUUUAGGCAAUUCAGUGUUUCAUAAAUUUCAAUGCUUCGGACAGUCAGUGUCUCAAGCGGUAAUGGUAACUGAGGAUCUCAUGUAUGGUAAGUGUAAUAGAUUGCUGAGUAAUGCUAAGUUACCCACCGCGGGGUUCAUCUAUAAUGAUUCAGUAUGAGUGGUCUAUUAAGGAUUCAGAUCAUCUAGAGACAGCAAAUUUCAGACAGAGUACAUGUAAUCUUGUUGCGAGGUAUUUGUUCACCUUAGGAAUUUAGGGCUUUACGAAGAUUGUCACGACUACCCUAGGAAGCCUAGGGUGUGCUCAGGAUAGUGACCAUGUUACUUGAGUGGUUCGGCGCAUAAGAGAUGGUAAGGAAUGAUUUCGAGGACAAAAUCUAAUUUAAGUGGGGGAGAGUUGUAACACCCUGUUUAUUUAUUAGAUAAAAAAUUAAUUAAUGAAUGAAUACUAGCCCUAAAAUAAAUAAUUAUAUUUCAAAAGUUGAUCUUGAGGAGCUAAUUGUCACCCUUUAAGAGAUUGGGGGUUAAAAGUGUAAGUUCCAGAUUAGUUUUUUAAGUAUUUAAGAAGGCAGGGGCUAAAUGGUAAGUAUUAUACUCGAUUUGUAAAGAAUUUUAAGGCUGAGGGUUAAAAAGGUAUAUUGGGGAUUUAUGUUGAAAGAAAAGGAGGGUGGAGGGGCUUAUCUUGCCAUUAUGGAAAACUUAUGUAUGGAGGCGGGUAUUUAAGGGUUCAAACCCUAAACCUAGUGCAAGAAACUACAUCUGCCAUCUCCUUUUUCAUUCUGGUAGCCGCUGCUACCAUUGGAGCCUCCUCAGCCACCAUUUGCGUCACCAAGCCCGACAACCCAGUCCCGCCUACUGUAUAUGAGGAUGAUGGAGAGAAGAAGGAAGAAGAAGAAGAUGCAUUGGGUUAUUACAAGUCAUGGAAUCACAUAAUUGGUGGAGAUCUCUCUCCUUUUCAGACAACUACAGGACAAUACAUCCUAAACAAUAUGCAGUUUUUUACACAUGCCAUUGAUUUGUCUCCCUACCAUCGUAAAUUCGUUCCAGACGGCCCCGACAUUCAAGGUAGAUGUGAUUUUUGUUAAAUAUAUUUUUAUUCUCGUGUUUUAUGUAUAAUGACCUACCUUACCCAUCACCCACUUUCUUUAAAUACAUGGAUAAUGACCCAUUUAUUUUAAUAGACGGAUCAUAACUUCAAUCUUUUAAACAAAUGGAUCAUAUAUAUUAUUGAUUUUAUUGACCCAUAAGAUCAGAUUUUGUUGUUAUAAAAAAAUAUAAAAGCUAAAAGUUGUAAUUUUAAUUUAUAAAAUGAAUAGACCCAAACAUUGAUUCAGAAACGGGGACAGUUCUGGUCCCAGGGGUACUUUGGGAAAACUUUCCUAAUUUAAAGUUUUGAGUUAGUUUAGGAUUCCAAUUAGGGUAUGGUUGUGUGACCUUUUUAAUUAAGUUUUUUUUCAGUCUUUUCAGUAAUAAAAUUUGGAGAACAAGUAAUUUUCCCAGAUUUCUUCCUCCCCUGUUUCGCUCAUGCUCUAUUUCUUUUCUGCACACAGCUGAAGUUUCCAUUCUGUCAUAAUCAAGUGAAUUGAUAUGGUGUGGUGGCAUCCAUUUUACCCCACCCUGAGGAGUAUUUAAACUUUUCAUUUUCUAGAAGGUUGUCAGCUAAGAAAAUUCUAGUAGCAAAAACUAUUUGAGAGGCCCUUCCUCUUGAAAGAAUGGGAAAACCCUAAUAAAUCAUUAAUUAUCAGUUACUUGUUUCCAGUUGUGAAUUUCCUGCUUAUUCUCUUUACUCUGUGUGGGGCUUAUUAGCACACUCAAUUGAUCACAUAAACAUUCAUGGACCUAAUAUGACUACUUUGUCCAAAUGGAUUAUUUGUGAAUAAUGACUAACACAUAACUUGUUAUCUGUUUUCAGUAGAAAAGGAAAGGUUUUGGUUGAGAGCUUUAUCCCUAAGGAAGCCUGACAUAAGUGGUCGUGCACAUAAGGUAUACUUUUUGACACCCAAACGUUUUCUCUCUUCGCGUGAACAAAAGGAAUACACAACCGAAUAUUAGGAAUCAAAGUUCUCAAUUUGUUUAGGGUGUAACAAAAUAGGAGGAGUUAUAACCUUUCACUGAAUGCAUUAAAGUGGAAAUAUUAAAAUUUGGAAUCAUAGAAUACUACAAAUAUCUGUUCAUACCAUGUCUAAACACUAUGGGUCAAAAUCUAGGAUUGAAUUCUCACCAUUCCCUGUACUUGUCUCAGUGUAAUAUGCAAGUAGGACCAAUUCAUAGAUUAAUCAUAUUCAGUAGACGUUCUUGGGUAAAUUCUAUGUUAAUAACAAACUAUUGCAUUUUGGAAAACAAGAUGAAAUUGUUUAAGCAUAUUGCUUGAUUUUAAGGAAUCUUAUUGAUAGAUUCAUUCUUAGGAUAGGAAUCAUUAUUCUGUUGAAUCAAGAAAAUGUAACAUAAACUUUAACAAUUUUCUUACUUUCCUUUUUAUGUAGGGUGAGGGGGAAUCUUCAAGGUCUCAUCCUUCAGAUGAAAAGGAUUGAGAAAGAGAGGCUACAUGGCUGGCAUGAAUAGAAAAUAGAUGGGUAGCCUGAUGCUAUUGCAAAUUCAUUAUAUCCUACUUUUCUAGAAGAAUUAAGAUAAUAUAUUCCAGCCUCUACUGCAAAAUUAAACACAUUUGUAUUUGUAUGUUAUUUCCCCAUGAUUCUUUUAAGCAUAGUUAUCAAAAUUAAACACUUCUCGAUUUGUGUGCUAUUUCCUGAUCAUUAUUUGAACUGAAAUCUUAGUCUCAGUUAUUGCCUUAUCAACAAUGUCCAUAUGAAAGAUGAGAAUUCUCGUAUCAUUUGUUUUCUUGUUUUGUUUAUUUAUUUAUUUAUUUAUUUUUUAUUUUAGAAGCAACACUUUUAGGUCGCCCCUUUUUCUACACAUCACGAUACAGAAUAGUAUCACAUAUUAAUUUAUAUAUCUUAUCUUUACUGUCCUCUAUAUCUUUUAUUGUUACUAUUUGUGGUUGCCAAAAGAAUAUCAUAUUCUCAUUUAUUUUCAUUUUCCAGCUCAUCUUGAUAUCAUAUCAAGUUAUCAGUAGUGUUUUUGCAACAAAGUUAGACUCCACAAUCUGGUCAUUUGAGGCUGAAAAUAAAUCAUCAACAUCAACUUAUCUGUGGUCUUUAUGCACCACUCUCAUUUCGUGUCUUUUUCCCAUGUCCUCAUUGUCCUUAACAACUUGAACAUCACAUAACCCCGUGCCUGAUUCCACCUCAUUUGAGCUUAAAAAAAACCUGUUCAUCUCCUUACCAACAUCUUGAUUACCAUUGAAGUCAUUUUAUUGGCCAUAAUUAUCAUUCACACUUGCAUUAGUAACCUUGCUUUCAGUAUCCAGAUUGGAGAUGAUUGGAGAUACAAGGAGUAGAGGCUUUAAUUAACUCUUUUGCUUUCAGUAUCUGAAUACAACAAAAUGGCACCAAAAACAAAAACUAAGAAGCAACACCCAAAUGAUGAGAGAAGAUGCAACAUGGCCAAAAAGCAAUUAGCCAAAACUAUAUCAUUGGAGACAAUAAACCACUUCAACUUGGCCAAAAAGCAACAUGAAGCAAUUGGAAGCAAUGAAAGAAUACACUAUUUGAAAACUCUAAAUUGGAGCGAGUCACCAAUUUAAACUAAUAAUAUCCACAUCAAGAGUAUAUGCAUAGCUCCUCCACAUGUUGACUUUUUUUUUUUUCUUAACUACAAAUCUAGCCACUUUUUUUCAUAAUUUAAUAAAAGCUUUGUUUUCUAUUUAUCAUUAUUUGUAUACACAUAGCAAGAAAAGCUUAUAACUCCAGUGGGUGCAAUCUUUGGGAUAAAGUAUUUACAUAUAAAAACAUUUUACACAUUAAUUUGAACCAAUCAUUAUAAAGUUAGAAAAAUCAUAUUACUAUAUAAAUUAAUAAAUGUUUGAAAAUCAUUAAUUAAUGAUUAUAACUACAAAGUAUUAAUAUUAUUUUAAUUUACUAACUGCGGUUACUACGAGUUAGUUUAUAAAGAAGCAAACCACUUAAAGAUACCUUUUUCACUAUUCAAAUACUAGAAAUCACUUGAUCCUCUUCUUAACAAACCAUUAUUAUAACCACAAAAAAGAAGAAAUAUGAACAACAAGGUCUAAGAUGAGAGAGAGUCAAUACUCAUAAUUUUCUCAGGCCAACCCCACUUCUUAAAAUUUGGACAAUUUUAUGCAUACAACUAGUCUAGGAAUGACAUUUAUUAUUAACAAAUUGAAAUGAAAUGAAAAUGAAAUUUAAAGAGUAAAAUGGAAUAAGAUGUGUGGUUUUCAAUUGGUACGAAGAGAGUAUUUGUAAUGAUAUAAAGGAGAAAAAAAAGGAAAAAAAAUGAAAAUGUAACUGUUAGAACGCGUUCCACAAACCUUUAACCUUCUUCUAACGGUAACCAAUGCGCUCAAAUCCAUCUCCUCGGCGGUACUGCCCGCCACCCGCCGGAGCCCACUUCCGAUACCCUCCACUCUAAUAAAUAUCAUUAUUAUCUUCCAAUUUUAAGUAUCAUGAUAAGUACUGUGUUGACUUUGGGUUGACAUAAGGAAUAACAAUUAUUUUCUCUAAAAUUCUCCUUGCGAAUCAUUAUUUUGUUGAAAUGUACCUUUUCUUUAUGAGCAUAAUUACUUUAUUGAAUUUAGCUUGCCUUGAUAAAUAUCUUUUAUUUUCGUGAAGUUUACAUUGUCUUAAUAAAUAUCAUUACCACUUUAAUAAUUAUCAUUUCUAAUUCCACAAUAAAUAUCAUUAAAUAGUUUUCUUUAAUAAUUAUUAGACAAAAUUACAAAAAUGGUCCCUGUGGUUUGCCAAAAGUCACGAAGUCAGUAUCUGUUAAUUUUUUUUUGAUGUAAAUGGUCCUUGUGGUUUGCAAAACUUGCAAAGAUGACCCUUUUUACUAACACCAUUAGUAUUCAGCCGUUAGGGACUAAAUCUGUAAGGGUAUUUUCGUCUUUUCAAGUAUAAAGGGACUGAAUUCGUGACAUUUAAUAAACCAUAGGGACCAUUUUUGUAAUUUGUCUUAAAAUAAUAUAAAUGAUAGAAAAUGAAGUGUACUAUAUUCGAACUUUGGACCUCCUACCUUUCUCCCUUAAUCAACCAAAGCUUUAACCAACUAGGCUAGAGCCGCACUUGAUUUAUAUUUUCGAAAACUAACUAAUAUUAUCUACAAAUCGUAAAUAAAUUAAUAAUAAAAUAUUAAAAAAAACAUAUUUUUACAAAAAAAAAAAAUUAAUAAAACAAAAUAUAUUUUUAGCGUAUUGUAAAAAAAAAAUACAAACAAUUAUUUGUUUUUUUACGUAUUUAAAAAAAUAAGUUUCCGUAUACUUUUAAAUACAUAAAAAAAUAACGUAAUAACAUAUUCUACAAAAACAUAAUCCUAAAAAACAUAAAAAAAAGUUUUUUGUAUAUAUUUAUUUUAUGUGAAGAUUCAGUUCCUAACGGCUGAAUACUAACGGUGAUAGUAAAAAGGGCCAUCUUUGUAAGUUUUGCAAACCACAAGGACCAUUUACAUCAAAAAAAUUAACAGGGAUUGAUUUUGUGACUUUUGGCAAACCAUAGGGACCAUUUUUGUAAUUAUGUCUAAUUAUUAUUAUUUAUAGAAAAGAAUUGAAAAAAAAAGCGACACCAUCAAGGCAUCGAAGGAAAACCCAACACCCUCGUUGACUCUCCUCUCUGGUCGUCUCCCUUCCUCGUUGACUUGCUGUUUCCCUGCCGACUUAACGCGGUUCGCUCUGUACUUUUCACUCUUCAUCGAUCUUUCUCAGCCGCGUCACUGUUGGUUCAUCCUUUAUCGCUGCUGUUUCAGUUCUCCUUGUCAUCCUGUAUGCUUCUUAAUUACAAGUUGUUAGACAAUUUCAUCUUAUGAAUCAUAAAUCACAUCAUAAUCAUUUCGUUAUUUCACUAACAGGUGAUUGAAUAUUGUCUAUUUCCAUUAUUUUUGUUUUAUUUUAUAUAUCAAUUAGGAUACUCCACACUCCUUCUAGCCCAAAGUCCAGUACGAUGAACAAAAUUUCCUGCACGUUGAGAAUUCUUUGAUCCUUUAAAAUUUCUUCCUCAAUUCCUCUAUAUUUUCUAAUUCGCAACACGAUUUUUAGAUUUGAUUCUUUUUGAAUGAUGUUUAUGAACAAGCUUCAAUAUUUGAUUGUCAUAAUGAGUGUUUUGCUUGUGUAUAGACUAAAGAGUGCAUUUAGCUUUGAAAUUUCUUCUAUUAUUGAGUUUGAAAUUGAACCCUUAGAAAGGGCAAAGUGGAAGGCGUGUUUUGCUGGCUUCAGAAACAUAUCAUUUGGAACAAGCCCAUAAAUAUUGUUAGUUGAAACACUUAAAAUAAGAUGUAUGCUGAUACUAGAUCCAGUUAUAUAUGAAUUUUAAAUUUGUGUAGAUUGUUGUGCUAAUUUUGGAGAUCCAUAAUUAAACAACCUUGUCAAGCAAGUGCUGUUUUUUUUUGUUUAAAACUUUACAUCUUUCAAUUGUUUGUUGAUAUCUAGUAAAAGCUUGAAAUUUCCUAUAUGCUUUGCAAUUUCCUUCAUGGGAGGUAAUAGUGGAUCUUGUAGUUAUUUCAAGAAUGGUAUUUUGGUGUAGAUUUGUUUGACGAUUACUCUACUGAAAUUCAUAUGGAUUUUACUUAGAUAAAUAAGGAUCUUUAUGUGGGCUAAUCAAAUUAAAACAGAGGCGUUGUAGUUUCAAUGCAUAAAUUGGUUUGUUAUUUUCUUGAAUCUAAACUUAGCCAGAAAAACAGGUUAAUUAAUUGGUAACAGCUUUUAAAAUAAAUUUCAUGGCAAUGUAAUGGUUAUUCUAUAUCCAUACUUUGUUUUUGUGGGAAAGAAUAUUCUAUAUAAAUACUUAGUUAGCUAUAUAUGUUUUGGCUAAAGGAUCCAAAAACCUGUCACAUAAUUAUUAUUGCCAUGAGAUUGCUGUUGUAGUGAUUUAACAGCGUCUCUUUGUAUUUCAAACACAGCAGCAACCGAUUAAUGCUUAUUCUUUUGUGUUCCUUUUCCAGUGUUUAUUUGAUGAGAUUGAAGUUGCAUAUUUUAAAUAUUAAUAAUUUGGAUUUUAUGUACAGGCUUUAUUUGAACCACAAGUUAAGAGCUUCUAGCUUAUUGAGAUACACAAAGGCUUAUCAACCCAUAACUCAUAAUGGUUAUUCUCUCUGAACUCCUCUCAGAAGGAUCUUCAUCUUCUUCAUCAAAUAGUGGUCAUAGUCCAACUGAUGGUCAAAGUUCAUCAACUGAUGGUUACAUGUACGAUGUAUUUUUAAGUUUUAGAGGUGUUGACACUCGUCAUAGUUUCACUGAUCACCUUCAUAAAGCCCUCAUUGAUGCCAAUAUCACUACGUUCUUGGAUGAUGAAGAGAUUGAAACAGGGGAAGAUCUGAAACCAGAACUAGAGACUGCAAUUAAGGCAUCUCGGGGUUCUAUCAUUGUGAUGUCUAAGAAUUACGCUUCUUCAACAUGGUGUCUGGAUGAAUUGGUGUUGAUCCUUGAGCAGCAUAUGACAUCUGAUCAUAUUAUUAUCCCCAUAUUUUAUCAUGUUGAGCCCACUCAUAUCGGGAAGCAACAAAGUAGCUUUGGAGAUGCAAUGGCUAAGCAUAAACAGACAAUGGAGGCAGAGACAAAUGCAAAUAAAAGAAGUGAAUGGGCUCAAAAGAUGGACCGAUGGAAUAAAGCCCUUAUAGAAGUAGCUAAUUUAAAAGGAAAAGACGUCAAUGGAAGGUAACUGUUUUCUUACCUAUAUUUCCAAAAUUCUUCAAUUUUGUUUGAUUAACACAUGAAUGUUAGUAUCAUCUUCUCCCAAUGCAUUUCAAUAAGUUUCUUUAACAUCACUAAAAAGACAUAUNUAUAUAUAUAUAUAUAUAUAAUGUAUUAGGAUAUAAAUUCCACACAUUUUUUUAUGCAUUUUGUGUUUCAUUAUAAGUUACUUCAUUUAGACAAACUGUUCCAAUUAUUUUGUAUGCUUUCUAUUAAGAAAACAAGAUUUGAAGGGUUUGCUAUGCAUCUACUAUUACUUAUACCAUACCACCUUAUAAUCAUAGUGUCUUUUAUGAUAAAUAACUUAUCUUACCUUUAAGCAGUAAAACAUUACUUAUAACUGGCACUUUUUUCAAAACACGCCACAAUGAUAGUUAUGAUGGUCUUGUGUAAAUGCAGUGAAGUUAGGUUGUCCAUUAGUGAAAUCUGGUAUUACAUUGGAACUUGUAUGGUUAGAACAUAGAAGUGUAAACACAAUAUCAUUUUAAUGUGAAGGACUUGAUUAAAAUUAAUAGCUAUGAUAUAAUUUUGAUUUUGGUUCUUUGGACAAAUUAAAUCUCCAAAUCCAGUUUGUUAGUUCUGUGGUUCAUAUAAAAUCUGAUUUCAGGCUAGAGACGGAAUUUAUUGAAGAAAUUGUGAAGGACAUCCAACGUAGGUUACAUGUACGCUUAAGGAGUGUCCGGCAACAACUUAUUGGGAUGGACUAUGAUAUUAAGUUCAUCACUUCAUGGUUGAAAGAUGGAUCCUCACAUACGGCAGACAUACUCACUAUUUAUGGUAUAGGAGGGAUUGGGAAGACAACUUUAGCCAAACAUGUCUAUGGGCUAUAUGCUCACAAAUUCCACAAAAGCAGCUGUAUUGAAGAUGUUAGUAGGGUAUGUGAUGGAAAGUUUAAUGGGUUGCUUGAUUUACAAGAAAAACUAAGCAGUGACAUUUCAAAAACAAGUUCCGUUAAAGUUCAUGAUGCUUCGGUAUACACCUCAAAGAUAGAGAAUGCAGUAGCACGUAAAAGGGUGUUUCUUGUUCUUGAUGAUAUUAGCACGCUUGAUCAGUUGGAUGCGUUACUUGGAAGCAAAGGUUUUCAUCCCGGAAGCAAAAUAAUUAUAACCACAAAGGAAAGACAUUUGAUAGAGAGGUGUGCACUAUUCAAAACAGACAUUAAACCAAAGCAUACAAAGCUCUUGCUUCAAGGCUUACAUGAGACCGAAUCAUGGAAACUUUUGUGUCUCCAUGCAUUCAAAUGCAACUAUCCCAAGACAGGUUAUGAAGGGGUGUUAUAUAAGCUUGUGAAGUAUUGUCAAGGACAUCCAUUGGCUCUUGUAGUAUUGGGAAAAUCUCUAUAUGAUCGAGAUGUAACUUAUUGGGAAGGGUGCAUAGAAGGGCUAAAGAAAGAAACAGAUUCUCAUGUGAAUAAUGUCUUGAGAAUGAGCUUUAACUCUUUGCCAUCCAAAAAUGAUAAGGACUUGUUUAAGUAUAUUGCUUGUUUUUUUGUUGGAAUAGAUAGAGAUGUUGCUGAAACAAUAUUAAAGGCAUGCAAUAUAAACAUAAGAUCUGGAAUCCCGAAUCUCCUCGACCGAUUCCUUCUUUCGAUUGGAUGGAAAAACAAAUUGAAGAUGCAUCAGUUGGUUCAAGAGAUGGGAAGGUUCGAAGUACGUCAAGAAUCACAUGACAAGCCAUGGAAGAGAAGUCUAUUAUGGUGUCAUGAGGAGUCAUUCAGAGUAUUAAAACAA